GCGUUAAUCGGAAUUACUGGGCGUAAAGCGUGCGCAGGCGGUUCUCCAAGUCCGUUGUGAAAGCCCCGGGCUCAACCUGGGAAUGGCAGUGGAAACUAGGGGACUUGAAUCUGGCAGAGGGGGGUGGAAUUCCACGUGUAGCAGUGAAAUGCGUAGAGAUGUGGAGGAACACCGAUGGCGAAGGCAGCCCCCUGGGCUGAGAUUGACGCUCAGGCACGAAAGCGUG
This 226-nucleotide ribosomal RNA is filed under the name uncultured bacterium. RNAcentral's name for it is "partial 16S ribosomal RNA". It matches the Rfam family "Bacterial small subunit ribosomal RNA", at positions 538 to 763 of the family's 1533-position model. The record is from RNAcentral.